AGAAUCAACGCUGGCGGCGUGCCUAACACAUGCAAGUCGCACGAGAAAGGGGCUUCGGCUCUGAGUAAAGUGGCGCACGGGUGAGUAACACGUGAAUAAUCUACCUCCGAGUGGGGAAUAACUGAGAGAAAUCUUAGCUAAUACCGCAUAACACUUACGAGUCAAAGCAGCAAUGCGCUUGGAGAGGAGUUCGCGGCCGAUUAGUUAGUUGGCGGGGUAAUGGCCCACCAAGACGAUGAUCGGUAUCCGGCCUGAGAGGGCGCACGGACACACUGGAACUGAAACACGGUCCAGACUCCUACGGGAGGCAGCAGUGGGGGAAUUUUGCGCAAUGGGGGAAACCCUGACGCAGCAACGCCGCGUGGAGGAUGAAAUAUCUUGGUAUGUAAACUCCUUUCGAUGGGAAGAUUAUGACGGUACCAUAGAAGAGCCCGCUAACUUCGUGCCAGCAGCCGC
Molecule: ribosomal RNA, 456 nt
Filed under: uncultured bacterium
Lineage: Bacteria
Description: SSU rRNA
Rfam family: Bacterial small subunit ribosomal RNA
Source: RNAcentral